This 73-nucleotide transfer RNA is filed under the name Paradoxophyla palmata (web-foot frog). Its description in RNAcentral is "tRNA-Asn". Lineage: Eukaryota; Metazoa; Chordata; Amphibia; Anura; Microhylidae. The record is from RNAcentral.
UAGAAUGAAGCUCGCUGGAUAGAGUGUUUAGCUGUUAACUAAGUUUUUACGGGAUCAAGGCCCGUCAUUCUAG